This is a non-coding RNA of Pelobates cultripes (western spadefoot toad), 296 nucleotides long. Lineage: Eukaryota; Metazoa; Chordata; Amphibia; Anura; Pelobatidae. The record is from the annotation of a GenBank genome assembly.
UAUUAGGAAUGUAUACAUUUGUCAUGUUUUUGUGAUCAGCACAAAUUAUGAGCAUUACAGCAAUGGUCUAGACUACACCUGUGUGUUGAUCUGAGAAAUGCUCAAAUUAUUUUUAGCAAAACUUGUGACGUGACUUUUACUGUUAGUCUAUUUUGAUUGCCAGACAGUUAUUUGCUGUAAAACCUUUUAGUCUGAUUGCUUAUUGCCCUUUUAUUACUUACCCCAUAUUUCUUUGCCUAUGUUCUUGAUUAUAUCAUGAUUUUGAUAUUUCUUCCUCUCCACUGCUUGCAAUGUUU